RNAcentral lists this ribosomal RNA (502 nucleotides) under uncultured bacterium. RNAcentral describes it as "partial 16S ribosomal RNA". It matches the Rfam family "Bacterial small subunit ribosomal RNA", at positions 28 to 523 of the family's 1533-position model. The record is from RNAcentral.
GAUGAACGCUAGCGGCAGGCCUAACACAUGCAAGUCGAGGGGCAGCACAGAAACAGCAAUGUUUUGGUGGCGACCGGCGGACGGGUGCGUAACGCGUAUGGAACCUACCUUUAACAGGGGGAUAACGGAGAGAAAUUUCCACUAAUACCCCAUAACAUCGAUCAAGGCAUCUUGAUUGGUUGAAAACUCCGGUGGUUAAAGAUGGGCAUGCGUUGUAUUAGGUAGUUGGUGAGGUAAUGGCUCACCAAGCCUACGAUACAUAGGGGGACUGAGAGGUUAGCACCCCACACUGGUACUGAGACGCGGACCAGACUCCUACGGGAGGCAGCAGUGAGGAAUAUUGGUCAAUGGGGGCAACCCUGAACCAGCCAUGCCGCGUGCAGGAAGACGGCUCUAUGAGUUGUAAACUGCUUUUAAACAGGGAUAAAGCACAGUAUGUAUACUGUGUUGAAGGUACUGUAAGAAUAAGGAUCGGCUAACUCCGUGCCAGCAGCCGCGGUAA